AUGCAGCGCACCGACCUCUCCACCACACCGGACAGGUUGAUCUGGAGAUGGACAGCGGGCGGCAACUACUCUGCGCAGUCCUGUUACAUGGCCACCUUCCAUGGAUCAACGGCCUGCCGUUCCUGGAAGCUAAUUUGGAAAUGCUGGGCGCCGCCACGAGUCAAGUUCUUCCACUGGUUGGCCAACCAGGACCGCUGCUGGACGGCAGAGAGGCUGGCUCGCCACGGCCUCCAGCAUCAUCCCCGCUGCCUCCUAUGUGACCAGCAGCCGGAAACGGUGCGACAUCUGCUGCUGGAAUGCCCCCUCGCCCGACAGGCAUGGCACGAGACCCUGGCCUGGCUACGCAUCCCGGCCCCGAUCCCCAUGCAGGAACUAUCGCUUACGGACUGGUGGAAACAUGCCAAGGAAGACACGCCGCUGAUCCUACGCAAGGCCCUGAAUUCUGUCGCGUUGCUCGUGCCAUGGAUGGUCUGGAAGCACAGGAACAGCUGCGUCUUCGACAAUGCGACGCCAUCCCUCAACACGCUUCUAGAUAGCAUUAAGGACGAGGCCCGCUCAUGGGGGGCAGCUGGGGCACCUGGCCUCCGACUUGUGCUGCCCCAAACCUGGGAUGUACAUUAA
This 621-nucleotide ribosomal RNA is filed under the name Triticum aestivum (bread wheat). Its description in RNAcentral is "partial small subunit ribosomal RNA". Lineage: Eukaryota; Viridiplantae; Streptophyta; Magnoliopsida; Poales; Poaceae. The record is from RNAcentral.